RNAcentral lists this ribosomal RNA (468 nucleotides) under uncultured bacterium. RNAcentral describes it as "partial 16S ribosomal RNA". It matches the Rfam family "Bacterial small subunit ribosomal RNA", at positions 28 to 507 of the family's 1533-position model. The record is from RNAcentral.
GACGAACGCUGGCGGCGUGCUUAACACAUGCCAGUCGAACGGAAAGGCCCUGCUUUUGUGGGGUGCUCGAGUGGCCAACGGGUGAGUAACACGUGAGUAACCUGCCCUUGACUUUGGGAUAACUUCAGGAAACUGGGGCUAAUACCGGAUAGGAGCUCCUGCUGCAUGGUGGGGGUUGGAAAGUUUCGGCGGUUGGGGAUGGACUCGCGGCUUAUCAGCUUGUUGGUGGGGUAGUGGCUUACCAAGGCUUUGACGGGUAGCCGGCCUGAGAGGGUGACCGGCCACAUUGGGACUGAGAUACGGCCCAGACUCCUACGGGAGGCAGCAGUGGGGAAUAUUGCACAAUGGGCGGAAGCCUGAUGCAGCAACGCCGCGUGCGGGAUGACGGCCUUCGGGUUGUAAACCGCUUUCGCCUGUGACGAAGCGUGAGUGACGGUAAUGGGUAAAGAAGCACCGGCUAACUACGUG